CUUCUGCAGCUCGACGGGCACCACGGCGCUGGGGCAGUGCUUCUCGAUGUAGUCCUGGAAACCCUGCACUCCCAUGCAAAUGCUCGCCUGGAUUGCUAAGUGUGCUCCGACUGAACUCCCAGUGUGCACAAAUUAGCAGACCUGAGCUGAGGCCAGCUACGUGCUGUCUUUGAGAGGUAACAUUUAAACUCAUGUAUUCCCAGGUUUUGUCAUUAAAGAUCCUUUAUUUGAUUUUCAUUCAUUUCAGAAAGGACUGAGGAUCCUGGUGUCUUAGGGUUUUCUGCCUGAUUUACGCAGAUUACUUUCUUAUCUUCAUUUAUUCUUUUAAAGAGAUACCACUUGAAAUUUACCCUGUGACUUUCUUGCCUUUAGUGUAAGUCAAGAAAGCGUUGAAAGUUUAGAGAAUGAUGUAUGUUUGAAUAAUGCGACUCUUUUGCAAGAGAUGAAAAGAGUUAAAAACCAGCAAGCUCCUCACUGGUGGACAGAAAACCUUACUGCUGAAAGUCGUACAAACAUGCAGCCUGGCCCGCGUUCAAUGUCUUGACUGCCAUAAAACUAGAAACAUUACUUAGCAUGAAUUCAUAGUCUAGUUCUGAAAAAGAAAGAAAAAAAAGGUAAAUAUUGCAUAAUUCUCAGUAAUGAGAACAUUCUUAUUUUCCAGAAGAUGUCAGUUUAAUUCUCCAGGUACUCUCGGUAUAUAGAGCAACUUUUGAUCUUCCCCUACAUAAUACAGCGCGGGAUACUGUCUCUUUAAAUUAAUUUAUAAAAUAAUUCGGGACUGUGGGUGUCUUUGAUCUGUUCCUCUCUGCUAAAGUACAGAAGAGAAGAACAUGUCGCUUAGCAACCCCAGCCGGGACUGGGGGGAGGCAGCGAGGGAUGCAUGGUCCAGAGUCACCAAAGGGAAAGAUGCAUCCCCACCAGAAAACUCAACUUCUGAAGAUGCUUCUCCAAAAUAAAGCAAGCAAAUAAACAAACAUGGGGGCUUGCAGAAUGAGAGAAAUCAACCAUCAAACCCCCCAGCCCUGCAUGGCUGAGUUGUGGAACGGAAAACUGCUGCAAAAAAACUGUGUAAGAGGGAGAAUGACAGAACCAGCCCACUUCAGUGUGCUUCACACAGAUGAAAAAUGUCUCCUAAUUAAAUAAAGGUAAAUGGUUAUUCCUGGUCUUAUAUUAAUGAUCAUAAAGGUUAUUUAAAAUCUUCUUAAUUUUUAUGCCACUUCCAUCUCCUAAUGACCUAUAACUUAUUACUGAACAUAUCACAGUACAGUUAAGAGAAGUCUAAAUAUUAGCGGUUCACAUUUCUCCCAGAGCUCAGUACAGUCAAUGCUGUGCUCAGAUUCUGUGGUAAAACUGCAGAUUAUUAGAGCAAAUGCCUACCCCAUCUGCAGGCUAGAAGCUUAUAUAAACUGGCAUCUACUGCAUAUUCCAGCAGUUACAUACAUACUCAAAACUGGACAUUAUUGCACUCUGAAGUAACACUUAAUUUUAUCUAGUAAGGGCAAUGGUAAAUGAUAGCGUGGACUUCAUUAAGACCUAAGUUUCUUAAAUAACUUAAUACAUAAGUAACAAGAUAAUUUUCUGUUACCCAUAUGUAGAAAAGACCUAUAGGUUAGAAUCCUGUCUCCAGUGAGAUCAAUGGGAAUUUCACUAGUUACUGCAGGGGCGCCUAGGUUUUACCCAGGCUCUCUGAGAGGCCGUUUUCUGUAUUGGCAUUGCUCAUGUAAUGUGAUUCUUUGGUGAAAUUUCAAUAAGAGAAAUAUGUAAAGCACUUGGCAUUAAGUGGUCUAACUUUGUUAACAUACAGCAUUUAGAAUGCAAUCGAAAUGAGAAGCAAAUUAUGAUAACUCAGCUGUGACCAUUUCAAUAAAAAAUUCUUCUGGAGAAGCUUGUAUAGACUCUGCAUUUUGGUUUUUAACAACUAUUUUCUGUAUGCUUUCAUUAUGAUCCAAACAAAUGUAGAGGCUCCAUUUGAAAUGUCUCAAGCUGAAGCAAACCCCAUUGACUUAACUUUAUCUGUGCUCUCAGUUACACCAGGGUCAACAAUUCUUUAGUGUAACAUAAUCCUGAAUAAGUACUUUUGCUGACUGCUGGAGUCAAGUGGGAGGAGGAGCCCAGCAACAGUGGAACCCUUUUACUUGUCCUUGUGUUUACAGUACCAGUUCAUGUACUUAGUGGGUUUUAUUUUUUGGAAACAGAAAUAUGUAAUAUCCAGGAGUCUGAGAUUACCUUAGUUGGGGAUUCUUCUUGUUACAUAAAAUUUAUGUGACUCCUCUAACAGACAGAACAUCUCCAGCUUUUCGAGCAGACUUCAUGGGACUGGUGAUAGUUUUGAAGAAUAUGUUUUGGACUACCCUGACAUAAAACCCUGUACAAUUAACAAAGCUUUCUGGUUAUGGCAUUCAAGUUACCAGAUCAGGAUGAUACAUGAAAAAAGCAUGCCGAUAAGGCAUCGUUUGCCCAAACAUGUCAUCAGAAAUUGACUUCCCAAAGGUAUGUCUCAAGCUGCAGAAUGAAACCACCGAUGUGUGAUAUUUUUCC
This is a long non-coding RNA of Strigops habroptila (Kakapo), 2538 nucleotides long. RefSeq lists it as uncharacterized. The record is from RefSeq and is a predicted model, not a curated record. NCBI's taxonomy places the organism in Eukaryota, Metazoa, Chordata, Aves, Psittaciformes, Psittacidae. The transcript has 3 exons.